UCCGUAGGGGAUACCUGCGGAGGGAUCAUUAAAGAGUUAUUACAACUCCCAAACCCAUGUGAACCUUACCAUUCGUUGCCUCGGCAGGUCGCAGCCUACCCUGUGAGACCCUACCCUGUAGGGCCUUACCUGGCGGUUGCGGGCAAUCCUGCCGGCGGUCUACCAAACUCUGUUUACUAUGUUAUUCUGAAUACUAUAACUAAAUAAGUUAAAACUUUCAACAACGGAUCUCUUGGUUCUGGCAUCGAUGAAGAACGCAGCGAAAUGCGAUAAGUAAUGUGAAUUGCAGAAUUCAGUGAAUCAUCGAAUCUUUGAACGCACAUUGCGCCCAUUAGUAUUCUAGUGGGCAUGCCUGUUCGAGCGUCAUUUCAACCCUUAAGCCUCUGUUGCUUAGUGUUGGGAGCCUACAGCCCUCUGUAGCUCCUCAAAGUUAGUGGCGGAGUCGGUUUCACACUCUAGACGUAGUAAAUUUUUUAUCUCGCCUAUAGAUGAGCCGGUCCCCUGCCGUAAAACCCCCUAAUUCUUAAAGGUUGACCUCGGAUCAGGUAGGAAUACCCCGCUGAACUUAAGCAUAUCAAUAAGCCGGAGGA
This 590-nucleotide ribosomal RNA is filed under the name Xylaria bambusicola. RNAcentral describes it as "eukaryotic LSU rRNA". The stretch from base 213 to 366 matches the Rfam family "5.8S ribosomal RNA". The record is from RNAcentral. Lineage: Eukaryota; Fungi; Ascomycota; Sordariomycetes; Xylariales; Xylariaceae.